AGAGACAGCAGUAGCCACGGUAAUACGUAGGUCCCGAGCGUUGUCCGGAUUUAUUGGGCGUAAAGCGAGCGCAGGCGGUUAGAUAAGUCUGAAGUUAAAGGCUGUGGCUUAACCAUAGUAUGCUUUGGAAACUGUUUAACUUGAGUGCAGAAGGGGAGAGUGGAAUUCCAUGUGUAGCGGUGAAAUGCGUAGAUAUAUGGAGGAACACCGGUGGCGAAAGCGGCUCUCUGGUCUGUAACUGACGCUGAGGCUCGAAAGCGUGGGGAGCAAACAGGAUUAGAUACCCCCGUAGUCCCUGUCUCUUAUACA
Molecule: ribosomal RNA, 309 nt
Filed under: uncultured bacterium
Lineage: Bacteria
Description: partial 16S ribosomal RNA
Rfam family: Bacterial small subunit ribosomal RNA
Source: RNAcentral